AAAUGGCAGUGAUCCGUACGGAAGCCGAAGGAAUCGACUCAUAUUGAAGAGCUAAGCCAAAGGAUUCGGUUCACUUAAAAGAGCCAGUGCUUUCCAUCAUUGAAGGAAGUGAAGUGCGCGGUGAAAAAGCAUCAUAAUGGACGCUACAGUGGCAUGUAAUAAUUGUGGCUUACCGUACACGUUGUCUGAGGGUGAGGUUGUGGGGAGGCUGCCCCAUGUGCUCUUCUGUGUGGAGUGUCUCUGCUCUCUGGAGUGUCCUCAGGACUCCAACUCUGUCCCCUCAGUCAGCUGUCCCGAGUGUAGGACGGUUUUUGCUAUGUGGGCCAAUCUCAGCUGAAAGCAGGUGUACUUGCGGCAGGUCCAUACUCUGUGUAGCGGUGUGUAUCUGCUUUUUCGAGUUCGUUAAGUCACAGACGGGCCACAGCUAAAAUUAAGGAGCUCAGCCGCCUGGAAAACACUUUUGACGGUUAAAUCAGUUAGGAUACUCGAGGCUGCAGUCAUUCUUCGUUUUCAAGAGGAAUCAUUUCAGCUGAAGAAGCCAUGCUGAGGGAGGUGUUAACUAAAUUAGAGAUGGUGCUGGACCAACAAACCACUGAGAUUGCUUCAACUACAGGAGGUCCAGGUGCAGCCUUUGGAUAUUGAUGAAGAUUUACUGCCCCUGCAAGACCUUCCUCAACUGUGUAGUCUGGAGCAAAGGAUGCAACAGAGCCCAGAUUACAAGCAAAAUCUGUUCAUAGAAACCUCUUUACGGCUAACGCUGCAGAGAUGGAGGUCGAGAGGACCAUGAAGAGGUGGCUCCAGCUGGCAUCAGAUCAAGAGUGUGAGUGCAAGAGAAGUCUUUUGCAAAAGGAAGCUGGGUGGGUACACAGUUGCGGUCGGAAGUUUACAUACCCCUUGCUGAAUCUACAAAAUAUUAAUGCUCUUAACAAAAUAAGAUUGAUCCUGUGCAAUCGUUGGGAACUACAUUGUGCGAAAUGUCCGCGUCGCUUCAACAAAGGGUAAGGUGCACACACAGUUUUUCUUUUGCUUGUGUCCUUGAUGUCGCUGAGCAGCUACCAGGAAUCCUGAAGAAGGACGAGUGCAUUGGAGCAGUCGUGCCGCAUGCGGGGGCAAACAUCAGGCUUCGGCAGACGGAGGUUCUGAAGAGGGACUUCGCCAGCCUGAUCGAGACGGUACGAGGCAGAUCACCCACCGCGAAGAUCAUCGUCUCUGGACCUCUUCCCUCAUACAGAUGUGGAGCUGAAAAGUUCAGUAGACUUCUAGCAUUAAAUGAUUGGUUAGUUUCUUGGUGUAAUUAACAGGAAUCUGCUGUUUGUUAAUAACUGGAAUCUGUUCUGGGAGCGUCCUAGGUUGUUUCGUCCUGAUGUCCUGCACUCCAGCAGCUUCGGAGCGGAACUGCUGUCAGACAACAUCUCCAAGACACUACAAACCAAGUGACUGCCUACCGUCAAAUUAUUCGUAAACAUGGAAUGAACUUCCACUGUUAUGCUGAUGAUACAGAGCUGUAUGUUUGCAACUGAACAAUAACAACAAUAAACAACAACUGAAGAAUAGCGAAAAACUUCAACUGUUUUCGUGCUUACUUGAAGACGAUGAGGCGGAGCAGCAUCGGAGAGACAGUUCGCUCCAUUCUCCAAAGAAUCGGGGAGAACAGUCUGUGGUGUAUGUUUUCGUUGAAAGCGUCAAAAGGUGGGAAGCUGGCUUUGACUGAUCAGGAUGAAGUGUAUGGCCUUGUACACUAUAUUGCCGAACAAGCACAUGGACGUGAAUAUACUGUUGCCGGUUGCAGAGAGGCCAUCGGCAGCUACCUAAAAAAUGCCCCAGGCAGGAAAAGUGUCAAGAAACACAUUGAGUGUUUAUGAUGAAGCAGAGCUACAUGGGAUCUCCAGUGCGUCCUGCAAGAAUUGGGCCUUAGUCCAGUUCAGAUUCAAUUUUGUAAUCUCAUUCCUCUCCCUCGCGUGACAGCCUCCAAACAGUACAAUUCUAAUGAGCUUGAAUAUACGGGGAAUUCCAUUGGGUUUGAUGUCUGACUAAUAAUUUUUUUCUUUGAUUAGCAAUACAUAGGAACUAUAUCUGGCUAUUUUGUGUGUUACAAUAUUGAAUGUCAUUUUUCAGCUUUUAACUUCGUCUGCAUUUACUAAAAUUCAUGCAUGUUUAUUAAAAAUAUUCAUGGAGUUUGUUAAACUAUAUAAUUGUUGUCUGUCAUUCAUAAGAUUCGUCAUGCGAAUUCCAUAGACCAGAAUCUAACAUCCACAUUAUUGAAGCUUGUUUAAUCACGGGUUUGUUAAAGCAUGCGGUAUGUUAUAUGCUUUAAUUGUAUCUUGCCACAUAAUGUUGGAAAAUGAGUACUUGUGUACUUUUCAAGAAAUUAGAUACAAAAAGGAUUACACAUAUCUGAUUAGAAAAAAUAGCAUCAUAAUGUGUGUAACUUUGUGUAUAAAUAUUGUGUAGUGUAUUUACACCACAUUAUGAGGUGUAUAUACAGGCAAUUACAAAAUACUAUGUGCAUGUUGUUGAGUCUUUCUGGAAUUCUAUAUCCCUGUUUUAUAAAGCACUGAAUGGUUUGGGUCCAAUAUAUAUUUCUGAUCUACUGGUACCUUAUGAACCAUCCAGACCUCUGAGGUCAUCUGGAACAGGUCUGCUUUCUGUUCUCAGAGUCAAAACUAAAUGUGGAGAAGCAGCAUUUAGUUUUUAUUCUCCACAUAUCUGGAACAAACUCCCAGAAAACUGCAGAUCUGCCAAAACUGUCAGUUCUUUUAAAUCAAGACUGAAGAAUUUUCUUUUUGCUGCUGCUUUUAAAUCAAUCAUCAAGGUAUUUUAAUUAAUAUCUUAUGCUGCACUGUAACCUUUUUAAUCUGUUUUAACCUGUUUUUUAUUUGUUUGUUUUUAUUAUUACUUUUUUUUUUUUUAUUUUAUAUAAUGUGUAUGAACUCUUUUUAAUGUCUUCUUUUUAAAUGUUGCUUUGUGUUGCUUUUAUGUAAAGCACUUUGAAUUACCCUGUUGCUGAAAAUGUGCUAUACAAAUAAAUUUGCCUUGCCUUUGUG
This is a long non-coding RNA of Ictalurus punctatus (channel catfish), 3044 nucleotides long. RefSeq lists it as uncharacterized. Lineage: Eukaryota; Metazoa; Chordata; Actinopteri; Siluriformes; Ictaluridae. The record is from RefSeq and is a predicted model, not a curated record. The transcript is spliced from 10 exons.